Long non-coding RNA from Chelonia mydas (Green sea turtle), 1715 nucleotides. RefSeq lists it as uncharacterized. The record is from RefSeq and is a predicted model, not a curated record. NCBI's taxonomy places the organism in Eukaryota, Metazoa, Chordata, Testudines, Cheloniidae. The transcript is spliced from 4 exons.
AUCUUGGAUUUGUUCCUUUAACACUGACUCUUAGCACAGUCCUGAUUUCUGUAUUAAUGAAUUGAGAAGAUGGCAUGAGGCUCUUAGAAUAAGGAAUUUCUCAUAUAAAAGAUUGUGACUUUAAGUAACUUGUAGAGAAUUAUACCUAAGGGUGUCUUAGAUUUUAAAACACUGCUGCCGUGUUGUUUACCAUGAAUGUAUUUCAACAAGCAGUGAGGAUCCAGUCCAUCACAGAGUAUCCACAACUUUCCAGACCAACAUAUGUGCCAGACAUCUGCAUCGCAGUAGACCGAUCUAUUCAGGAGAAAUUUCAACCCAAUAAAGAAUCAGAAACCAAAUCAAACCACACCUGAGGUGAGAAUUCAGGAGCAAAGAUUGGGGAUGUCUUUCCCAGGAAGAUGUGCGUUAUUAUGGCUGAAACUGCCCAAUGCUGAGAGCAAUUUUCAGAAGAGUUAGAUAUUACUAAAGAAGAUAGAUAUUAGCUAAAGAAGAUUGAAACUGGAGAGGGAGCUCUCACCACACCAACCUAUAUGACAGUGCUACCACCCCAGGAAUAAAGAGUGUUCUUCCAAGGUGAAGAGGGGAGAUCUCCCACUCCUUUUAACAGAGUAGCUUUCCUUUACUUUAAACCCUGUCAACAUAGAAUUUGGCCCAUCAGUCCCCUGACAUGGGGUAAGGUGGGGGAAAACUAGAUUGAAAUAAAAGGAGAUUGACAGAUUGAUUUCCUUCCUGAUCCUGAUUGCCACCACCAACUACUAGAGUAAUGAAAGUUAUUUGUGGUGCUGCAAUAAUUCCCAAUAUUUCUGGUUUAAAUGAUUGUGCUAUAUGGUAGAAUCUCAGCAAACGAGUUGAGAACAAGACUGGAAAUGUGUUUUAGAGUGGUGUAGUGUACAAGUAGCUCAUCAGAAAUCUCUGCUCAUUAUUUCUAGGUAUUUGUUUUCAUGUUCCAUUGAAUGAUCAUUUAAGAGAGUGUACUUGUGUUGAUGCCUGUAGGGAGGAGCAAAUGAAUAUGCAAAUAAUAAUAAUGUACGUGAUGAGAUUUUACUAUUUGAAUAUCAAUAUGCUAGAUAUUUUACUAUAUGUUGUCAUAGUGUAGGACCAGCUGAUCACAUUUCACUGAGUAUUUCUAUAAAAACAGUUUUGUGAUUUACUGAAGGUCAAAUGUACACAUACACACGAGCAUGUAUUAAAGCUGUGUAAACCAUUUUCCACAUAACAGACAGCUGGCACAAUUUUGCCAGAAAAGCUGACACUUAUGAAUGAAAAAUAAAGCAAACAGAAACCUGUUACCUGGGAGGAUAAUGGGACAGCUUCAGAGCAUGGAGUAAAUUCUGCUGGUCUUGACAUGGAGACACUGGCUGAAUUUUGUCCACGAGAUGUUAGCAACAUUCAGAUUCCUCAUGGGAAGAGUGGGGAGAGGGAAGGGCACUCAGUGGGGGAGUAGGGUCUUUUAGCACAUAUGGAAAAACACACAUAGAAAUGAUGAAAAAAUGUGUUUAAGCAGCAAAAGCAGCAUGUACAGUAACCCUGUAACAGAGUUUGAAAGCAGGGACUUUUCUUGAAAAUAAAAAUAAUGCACACAACAUUAGUUUGUUUUGGUGGGAGAGAGAAUGCAAGGAAGAUGGAGGGGCGGAUUGGAGCCUGCGAGUGAUAGCAACAACCACCAAAUGGGGGAUAGAGAAACAAAGAAGGAAGGAAAGAGCAGAGAUAAAAGC